Molecule: ribosomal RNA, 497 nt
Filed under: uncultured bacterium
Lineage: Bacteria
Description: partial 16S ribosomal RNA
Rfam family: Bacterial small subunit ribosomal RNA
Source: RNAcentral
GACGAACGCUGGCGGCGUGCCUAAUACAUGCAAGUUGAGCGCUGAAGGUUGGUCCUUGUACCAACUGGAUGAGCAGCGAACGGGUGAGUAACGCGUGGGGAAUCUGCCUUUGAGCGGGGGACAACAUUUGGAAACGAAUGCUAAUACCGCAUAAAAACUUUAAACACAAGUUUUAAGUUUGAAAGAUGCAAUUGCAUCACUCAAAGAUGAUCCCGCGUUGUAUUAGCUAGUUGGUGAGGUAAAGGCUCACCAAGGCGAUGAUACAUAGCCGACCUGAGAGGGUGAUCGGCCACAUUGGGACUGAGACACGGCCCAAACUCCUACGGGAGGCAGCAGUAGGGAAUCUUCGGCAAUGGACGAAAGUCUGACCGAGCAACGCCGCGUGAGUGAAGAAGGUUUUCGGAUCGUAAAACUCUGUUGGUAGAGAAGAACGUUGGUGAGAGUGGAAAGCUCAUCAAGUGACGGUAACUACCCAGAAAGGGACGGCUGACUACGUG